GAUGAACGCUGGCGGCGUGCCUAAUACAUGCAAGUCGAGCGAACAGAUGAGGAGCUUGCUCCUCUGACGUUAGCGGCGGACGGGUGAGUAACACGUGGAUAACCUACCUAUAAGACUGGGAUAACUUCGGGAAACCGGAGCUAAUACCGGAUAAUAUAUUGAACCGCAUGGUUCAAUAGUGAAAGACGGUUUUGCUGUCACUUAUAGAUGGAUCCGCGCCGCAUUAGCUAGUUGGUAAGGUAACGGCUUACCAAGGCGACGAUGCGUAGCCGACCUGAGAGGGUGAGCGGCCACACUGGAACUGAGACACGGUCCAGACUCCUACGGGAGGCAGAAGUAGGGAAUCUUCCGCAAUGGGCGAAAGCCUGACGGAGCAACGCCGCGUGAGUGAUGAAGGUCUUCGGAUCGUAAAACUCUGUUAUUAGGGAAGAACAAAUGUGUAAGUAACUAUGCACGUCUUGACGGUACCUAAUCAGAAAGCCACGGCUAACUACGUG
Molecule: ribosomal RNA, 497 nt
Filed under: uncultured bacterium
Lineage: Bacteria
Description: partial 16S ribosomal RNA
Rfam family: Bacterial small subunit ribosomal RNA
Source: RNAcentral